Long non-coding RNA from Gopherus flavomarginatus (Mexican gopher tortoise), 546 nucleotides. RefSeq lists it as uncharacterized. The transcript is spliced from 3 exons. The record is from RefSeq and is a predicted model, not a curated record. NCBI's taxonomy places the organism in Eukaryota, Metazoa, Chordata, Testudines, Testudinidae.
GCUGAUCAGAACACACACAAUACAUUUUUCAGUCUUUCUUUGGUGCUGGUCUUUGAGAGCAUUCAUCCUGCUAGAAGUUAGCUUCGAAUCAGGUCAUUCCUGGUUAUAAUUUGGAACUAUCAUGAUCCCACCCUCAUUUCCAUUCUCAUGUGCCUCUGUUCUGCAGCCAGAAUCUAGUAGAUCUGCUACUAAGGAAGCAGAAUGUACAGUACGAAGAUACUUCAAUUAUUGGUGCCAUAAACUAUAAACCUCUUCAACAUCAAGUUCCAUCUCGGCUUUUAUCAUCCCUCUAAGCAAUUCACCACGCAUUAAUGUAACAGUAAUUGCACUACAUAGGUGGCAUGUCCUCUUUAAUGGAAGAGAAGCAGGGGAAGUUCAUAUGCUUAAUUUAUCAUCCAUACUGGAAUUUAUCCUUUGUGUCAUCAGAAUCGGUACUUUUGGAAGACAAGUAACCUUAAAUUUUGGUUUCAUGAUGCAAAUUAGAAGUGUUUCGUGUUUUAAAACAACUUAUUUGGAAAAGUAGUUUUUAAUGGGGUUAUUGCAUUU